Molecule: non-coding RNA, 225 nt
Organism: Pelobates cultripes (western spadefoot toad)
Lineage: Eukaryota; Metazoa; Chordata; Amphibia; Anura; Pelobatidae
Source: the annotation of a GenBank genome assembly
AGAGACCUAGGGUCUCCAGAAACAUCCUCUAGCUAUUUAGUUAAAUUUACAUUGUGACGAUUUUGAUGUCAUUACACUGGGAUUUUAUGACUAUUUAAAUCAUUAGAAUAGUAAAAAAAAAAAAAAGCAAACUAUUCAGACACGUUGGCAAUAUUGAAUCCAUUCACGUAACCAGACAAGUUUAAUGCACAGGAACAGAUGGAUUGAUGGCCCUGCUCAAUGAGC